Non-coding RNA from Doryrhamphus excisus (bluestripe pipefish), 7092 nucleotides. The record is from RefSeq and is a predicted model, not a curated record. NCBI's taxonomy places the organism in Eukaryota, Metazoa, Chordata, Actinopteri, Syngnathiformes, Syngnathidae.
GGGAGGAAGCCAUUUUAAAUCUCUUGUAUGCCACUGAAAAAAAGGUGAAAGGGCUACUUCCUGUUUCAGAGAAAACAACAUGAGAAGGAAGGUGGGACGGUGCUGUUCAUGUGACUGAAAUAAAUGACAAAAGGUGUACUGGUCAAGCAAAUGAAACCAACCUUAGUGGAGACCAAAGGCAGACGCAUGCUUUCUAGGUGGCUGCCCUGUUGACUGAAGACAAAGUGCUGCUCCUUGUCUUUGGGAAUGACAAACUGGAGCUGGACCUCCUCCCCCAACAUGGACGAGCAGAAGGUGAAAGUGUGGAAGGUACACUCGGACAGCUGUGGCACACAGCACAGAUAGAUAUUUAGACAUGUCGGAUAUGUUUGAUAAGAAUUGCUGCUUGGGGUGCACUGACUGACCUGUGUGGCAGGGCUAGCGUCACAGUAGUGGUGACACUGCUCACAGUGAUGAAAGGCAUUGUGAGCGGCGUAUUGAGUGAGGCGUAUCGACUUGGUCUCCUGUUUGCCUUCCAUUUGACUCCUUUCUUCUUCUUUCUCCUUCUUUCUUUCUGAUAACAAAAAAAAUGUUUGAAUGCAUCGCAGAUGUGAUAAAGCACAGAGGUGAACUUUCUAUAGCACACACCUCUCACUUUCAGCUUUGGCAUCUUGUCAGAGUGGACUGGGCUAGCCUUCUUGAACUUGGAGUCUCGGGGGUUGGGGUCAAAGGGCAUGUUGCGGAUGUCUUCGAUGUCAGGCCACUGGGUACUUAUCGGUGUUGCGACCUCAUGUGUCUCUGCAGAGUUAAACAAUCUAAAAUCCACUCAAAACUCUGCAUCGAUGUGUCAGUGAUCUGUACCUUCACCUUCCUCCUCCUCUUCCUCCUCAUCACACACGUCCACCUCCAACAGUCUGAUGAGCAUCCGAAACAGGAUACGUAGAAACUGGAGUGUCAUAUUACCUGUGGGGGCCCACUGAGCAGUAGACGUCGAGGGUGCGGUACAGGUGGAGCUUCGUAAUCGGCGUGUUGCUGCCUGGCGACUGUCCACUGUCGGUAGUAGGUGCUCUGCUCUUCACUCUGCAGGCUCUGUGUGAUGGGGGGCCUCAGGGGGCUGCUCCACGCUACGUCGGCGUGGGGCAGUAGUGAGAAGGAGGACAGCUGGCUCCCUGAGUCGCCCGCUAACAAGUUAUAUGCUGCUCGUGACAUUAUGACGGUCCUUGGAGAAACACGGACAGGUUUUGGGUUGCGGCCGCAUUGUGUGGACUGGCUGGGCCGCUGGGUGGAGGAAGAGGACGGGGAUGGGGAUGAGGAGGAAGAGCUGGAGUAAAGGGACGCGGGUGCAUUGGAUGAUAUGGGAGGGUUGGACGAAAGCUGGCUUCCCAUGGAAUCACACUCCUGCUUGAAACUGGAUGUGUUGAUGCUCUCAGGUGGACAGGUAGACGUGGAGGGCUUAUGGAGGGAAUCUGCGGCAUCUGAUGAACUGACACCAUUCUCUACCAAAGAGCCUGAGAGAGUAAAAAGAAGGAAGUUGUAAGUAUCAACAUAUUUACAUCUUAAGACAAGGGCGGUGACCCACCAGAGGUCCUGGUUGCUGCGCUGCCAUUGCUCUGAGGUCGCUCCAGCUCAUCGCCAUCAUUCAUGCUGGUGGUGGCUUUAUCCCCAUCGGACUCCCGAGGGCCUGUCAUCUUUUUGGGCUCCUGGACCACCCCCAUGGAAACGUGGGUGCAGGCCAGGCCCACCUCCUGUUCUAGUGCCGUACGCGUCAAGUAGCUGGAGUCGAUUAGGCGAAGAUCGCUGUACUUCAAAGACCUAAAAAGGUGAAAGAUGUGACGUCAUAUGAAUCCAACACUUUGUGAACAUGUAGGGAUUACCUGGGGAAGGUCUCUCCAAGAGGGUCUUUCCCUGUCAGGAUGACGAUACAGGGUAGACCCUCCAGAUCUUCGUACGUUAGCGGCACCCAGUCUUCAUUGUCACAGCCGCGCCAUGCCUGCAGGACACAGCCCUUUAAUAACUACUGCAUCUUGGUGGUUGUUAUUAACAAAUCCACAGUGGUUCCUCACUCGCAAGCGAUUGGUGAAGUUCCUAGGGAGGUUUAGUUCGGAGGCGGGGCUUCCCAGCAGCACGGCAAAGCACAGCUGGAGACCCAGCUUGUCCCGCACGUCCUCCAGUCGCUCCCGGGCCAGCAUUGCCAGCUGCAGCGAGGGCACACGAACCAGCAGCAUGUGGCCCCGCCCUUGGGAGCCCUCCCUGCCCGGGGCAUUGAUCAGGUCCUCCACCAUGGCUAGUGUCUCCGGUGUGAUGUGAUCUCUCAGGGACGGUGAAGAGGUGAGCGCCAUCAUGGCUUCGGUGUACUGCUGGAUGAGCAGGUAGCUGCGGAUCACCAUGCUGUGGAGGUGUGGGUGUCUGGUGACACAAAUAAAAACUUCAUUUGUCACAUUAUCAUUAUGAAGUUGUCUUUGCGCUCUGUGGCUUCUCACCUUUGCAGCAAGGUGUGGACCAUCUUUUCGAAGGCAUCGUCACAGCGCAGGAUGGGGCUGGCCACGCCCCACUGGAGGGAUCUGCUAUAGUCCCCAAGGCCGAAGUAGACCAAUUCAUCACAAGGGGCCGCCCCCUGCUAGGAAGAUAAGCAUGCAACAAAACACAUUUGUUGAUACUAGUAGUACUCAGCACACAUUCUCCGUUACUACAUCAACAAUAGCCCAUUACUGUACUCCCCCAAGGAGCUUAUUAUGUUGUCAUUUGUAUACAAGGUUAGAUCAAACUUAAAUGAUGAAACAAAUUAUUUAACCUUAACUUAUCACAAGAAAGUAAGUGCAGUGUUUGUCCACGAGGUGGAGCAGUUGGACCACCGCGAUGAUUAGCCUACUGUGUGCAGACUAUUGUGAAAAUCAAUUCACCCUCACCAGGCUUUCAUUCAAGGGCCAGUGCACCUCGUUGUGCACGCUGAUGCGGGACUGGUGUGUCUGCAGCGUGUACGGGAAGCAGCUGACCUGCAGAACCAGCAGGUUCACUGCAUCCAGGACCUCCUGGCAGUUGACCACUCGGUCAGCCAGGCCCUGCAGCUCACCGUGGCAGACAGAGCCCGACAGAGCGCUAGAGGGGGGAAAAUAAAGACUGGAACGUGGUUUUUUGUCAAAAGCCAUUAAGUAUAGAAAAACUAGCAUUAUUGAAUUUGAAAAAUACAGUAUCCAAUACAGCACGAUUCCAUCCCAACAUGCAGAAAUAUCAAUUUUGAAAGGGCAGACUUGGAUUGGAUCUUAUCAGCUUGUUCAGUAAAUUUAGUGUGGAUGUACUGUCCCCUUCAAACCCUAGUCCAUAUUAGACCACUUGGCCUAGACUCUUCAAAUCUGGACUGGAUUAAUCUAUAAACCCUAAAGAUUCAGGAAAACAGAGUUUUUGAUUUUUGAAAACUUUAUUCUAUUUGUAAAAAUUCAAGAAAAGACAUAUGACCUCAACACGACCCCUCAGUAACUCAGUUGGUCAGUACCCUUUUUUGUAUAGCAGAGGCCGUCAUUGUGCAUAGGUGUACCAGAAGGCAUUGAGCAUAUAUGGCUGGCUAUUUACCAGAACAAUAUCAGGUUACAAUGGUGUGUCUUUGACGAAUGAGGGACUCUAGGUCACUCCGAAGAUGUGUGUAUAUGUGUCUCAGCACGGACAAAAGCCUAACACACAUAAUCUGAGUGGCCCAGAGCCCCCUCAAUCAGCAGAAGCGCCACCAUUAUAUCAUCAUAUUCUUCUACUUGUAUACGCUCAAUGCCUUCUCAUACACCUAUGCACAAUGACCGUCUCUGCUGUGCAAAAGGGUAGGAUACUGAGUUACUGAGGGGUCACAUUGAGGUUAUGUCCCUUUUCUUGCAUUUUCAUUGGCCAGGAGGAGGAGGAGCCUGCAAAAUAAAACUCAAAAUGACCUGACCAACUUUUAUGCCUACUUCUACGUCAUUCCAUUGUGUUUGUUCACCCUCUUCCUCCUCUUCCCCUUCGGUUUCAUCUUGAAAAAAUAGAACAAGGCCAACCAUGCAGCCAUAACAACUCAGAAGUGUGUCUCGUACCUUGUCAGGUCAACAUGCGAGUUAUCGUGGAUGAGGACAAACAGUGUGUAUGGGUUCUGUUUGACUUUCCUCAUGAAGGCCUCCAUCUUAACGUGCACAUCAGUGUCCAGUCGCACUACGUAUUUGUCGCAUUUCUGCUGAGCCAAGCCGGAUUCCUGCAUUCCUAAGUCCACGAGGACACCUGUUUGAAAAGGGAGGGAAUGACACAUUAUGUAUACCAAUGGUUCCCAAACUUUUUAAAGCCGCGUACCCCUUCAGACAUCUGACCUGAAGCCAUGUACUACUACUACACAUUUAAAAAACAAACUCUUUUAUUUUCAUUAACUUGACAUUUUGCGCAUAAAUAAUUAAUAAAACAUGCAUUCAUUUUAUAGUAAUGAAGUGCAUUUUGCAUGGUUGCAUUUUGAGAACGUUUCACAUGAGCACUGCUAAAUAGAUAAAGCAGUAGAUCCGAAGUACAGAAAUACAUACAAACAACAAUAAAGCCUAAUUUUCAGGGUGAUGCUGACUGUUUUUCACAUGUGUGCUGUGUGGGGAUAGGAACUAAUAUAAAUGAAAUCUUCACUUUUAAUGUACAAAGUAAUUAUCAAGCUUACUUAUUUGUUCAUAAGAUGCAAACACAGUAAUGACCAACUUCAUACUCCCUUCUGCUCCGUUCUCCUUGCACCGUGAGGCCUUCAGGCCCACUUUUAAUUGCAAGUGUUAUACGCUAAUUCUUUUUCAUUUUUAUUAACAUAUCCCCUACUACAAUAGGUGUACCCCACUUUGGGAACCUAGGACGUAUACAUUUCCUUCUAUGCCUUUGAAGUCUAUGUUUUGGUUGCAUACCUGAUUGUCGGAUGCGCUGUGCCGUCUGGUUUACUAGAAUGUGAGAGGGCGGGACUAAAACCAGAAAGUCCACUUUACAAAAGCGCCCCAAGUCAAGGUUCUGGCUGCCUGAGUCAGCAAUGGAGCAGACCUGAGAGAGGAGGCGGCGGGCCACGCUCAGUUGGGUCGGAAAGAUCUGGAAGACCUUACUGAGCAGCUCUGAUGCAAGAAACAAGGAAGAGAUCCAUCAUUGAUUGCAACACACGUCAGCAGCAUAGCAGACGAAUCAUAAAUGAAUGUCUAUUUUAGAGAGCAAGGUCGUGCAUUGGGUAUAAAUAUUGCCUCAUUCUAUGCUCAAAAGUCAAAAUGAAUCGUUUUUAAGUUCCUCACCUCUGUCUGCAGGUGGUGACAUGCUGGCAGACUCCUGCGAAUGGAUGUGGUCAGUGACAUCGCCCUGGAAGGGCUGGAUGACCUGGCCUUUCCGUCGCCGCUGAUACCGCACCAGCUGCUUGUCCAGAUUGUCCCCUGUGAAAACAAGCAGUCACCAUGGUGUGGAGGCCAAAGGCUUGAUGAAACUGCACUCUCGACUCAGGUCCUGAGUGCCGAAAAAGACAGAAGAGGCUGGCGUCGUUCUGUACACCACUGACCCUCCAUCUUGCCAGGAUACGGCUCCGGCUUCAGGUAGAGCUGUGUGAAGAUGGGCUGUGGAUCGCCGCUACUGGAGCGCAGAGACGCCUCGAUAGAAUUGUGGAGAGCCUCUUCGAAUCGAGUCGACUUCAGCUGCCCGGCAUAUGAGUUUCCCAUGAUCUGAGGAGUAAAACAUACAUUUCUAUAUUACACUAGAAAUGCAUGCUGAUAGAUUACCAGUUCCAUACCAAAUGGCGGAUGGCCAGUGAUGGCCCUUUAUGGACCAAUGACCAAUGAAAGUAAAAACACGGUCAUGGUUGCAGACUGAUCACAGCGGCAGUUUGCCUGCGUUAAUUACUCCUGUUAUUACGGUUAAUGUGACAGCAAACGCGGUGAAGUCACAAAAAAUUAGUUUGUUUACUUGCCGGGAAUGAUCCAUCCAUUUCCUAUGCCAUUAAUCUUCAAAUAGAACAAUAUAAAAUAGACUGGCUCUAAAGUGAGAAGUUAGUCUCGCAAACCAAAUAUUUAAAAGCGAAAGGACGGACAGAAAAACGGUCAUUCUUCUAGAACCAAAGCACUGCGUCUCGUGAUCUGAAAUCGUAUACAGUUCGUUUACAGUUAUACUGAAGGCUAUUGUGUUUAUUCCUUGUUUGUAAAAUGAAACUUUUUAUUAAUUAUGUGACAUUUCAUCCUGUUUUAUUUGAAACGCAAUUUAGGUUCCAAAAUAAGUGUGUUGUAGGGCAGUGACUCUUACUUAAUUUCUGCCUGCCAUUACUUCUGUCAGUGACACAUACAAGCAUAUUCAAAUUGUAUGCUGAGUACAACAAAUUAAGACAUGCUGGCUGGUUUUCACUAAUAUUGAAAGUCCUCCACACCUAAUGCUCCACUAUUUGAGAAGCACUUGUUUUAGGGUGCGCACGAUGGUCGAGUGGUUAGCAUGUAGGCCACACAGUCAGGAGAUUGGGAAGACGUGGAUCAAAUUCUCUGCUUGGGCAUCUGUGUGGAGUUUGCAUGUUCUCCCCGUGCAUGCGUGGGUUUUCUCCGGGGACUCCAGUUUCCUCCCACUUUCCAAAAACAUGCAUGUUAUGUUACUGCAUAAAACUGCAUAAACAGACUUUACUCAGUUUUAAUUGGAAGUGGUUUAGGAUAUCUUGGCUCUUUUUGCUCCUGUCAACUGUGUGCUGCACCCCCUCCCUCCCAAAAGAGGGUCAACUCUUGGACAUCUGUCAGGUCUCGUGUGUGGGCCUUUUUGGUGGCAUCCUCAACAUGUGUGCCACUAAAAAUACGUUUGAAAUUUCAAACCACCGUUAUUUGCAAAAAUUAGAGUACCUCAGGCAGAUGCUGCUUUUUUCCCCUUCCAUCUUUAAACUUUUGAUCACCUGCAAGCUAUAAUGACACUAUUUUCAUUUAAGCUCAAUUUAAGCUUCAUUGUUUUACUUAAUUAGAAAUAUAAACAUUAUAUAUUUGAAAUGAUGAUAAGAUUAAAAAAAAGAUGAAUUGGAGUUUGUUCAAAACUUUGGUAGGAUACGUUUUUUAAAAUUGAUUUGAGUAUUAAUGGAUUUCUAUAACAAAAUUUUUAAAUUAAAAAUCUAAUUCCAAAAAUAGUGAAAAUAAUCAUAUAAAAUGC